RNAcentral lists this ribosomal RNA (878 nucleotides) under uncultured eukaryote. RNAcentral's name for it is "SSU rRNA". It matches the Rfam family "Eukaryotic small subunit ribosomal RNA", at positions 570 to 1465 of the family's 1831-position model. The record is from RNAcentral.
GCAGCCGCGGUAAUUCCAGCUCCAAUAGCGUAUACUAAAGUUGUUGCGGUUAAAAAGCUCGUAGUUGGAUCUUGGAAUGUGUUCAAGCGGGUCAGCUUCUGGCUGUGCGCUGCUUGACGUGUUCUUCUAUUUGGUUUUGGUGCGGUGCGCUUAACUGCGUGUCGCUCCCGGCCGAAACGUUUACCUUGAAAAAAUUAGAGUGUUCAAAGCAGACCUGUUUGAGUCUGAAUAUUCGUGCAUGGAAUAAUGAAAUAUGAAUUCGGUUCUAUUUUGUUGGUUUUCGGAACUCGAGUUAAUGAUCAAGAGGGACAGACGGGGGCAUUCGUACUCUGCCGUUAGAGGUGAAAUUCUUGGAUCGGCGGAAGACGCGCAACUGCGAAAGCAUUUGCCAAGAAUGUUUUCUUUAAUCAAGAACGAUAGUCGGAGGUUCGAAGACGAUCAGAUACCGUCCUAGUUUCGACUGUAAACUAUGCCAGCUAACGAUCAGACAGAGUUCUCUACGACUUGUCUGGCAGUUUCCGGGAAACCAAAGCGUUUGGGUUCCGGGGGAAGUAUGGUUGCAAAGCUGAAACUUAAAGGAAUUGACGGAAGGGCACCACCAGGAGUGGAGCCUGCGGCUUAAUUUGACUCAACACGGGGAAACUCACCCGGCCCGGACACAGUGAGGAUUGACAGAUUGAGAGUUCUUUCUUGAUUCUGUGGGUGGUGGUGCAUGGGCCGUUCUUAGUUGGUGGAGCGAUUUGUCUGGUUAAUUCCAAUAACGAACGAGACUCUGGCAUGUUAAAUAGUCGCGGAAGUGCGUAUGCACUUUGCCGAAUUGACUUCUUAGAGGGACUAGUGAUUUUAAUUCACACGAGAUUGAGCAAUAACAGGUCUGU